AUUUCUAUAGUUUAGGAAAAACAUAAUUUUGAAAGGAUUAAGAGAAGUAAUUUAGAAAUA
Molecule: transfer RNA, 60 nt
Filed under: Coleolaelaps cf. liui XFX-2019
Lineage: Eukaryota; Metazoa; Arthropoda; Arachnida; Mesostigmata; Laelapidae
Description: tRNA-Phe
Source: RNAcentral